GGACGAACGCUGGCGGCGCGCCUAACCCAUGCAAGUCGAACGGAGCUGAGAGAAGCUUGCUUUUCUUAGCUUAGUGGCGAACGGGUGAGUAACGCGUGAGUAACCUGCCCUGGAGUGGGGGACAACAGUUGGAAACGACUGCUAAUACCGCAUAAGCCCACGAUCCGGCAUCGGAUUGAGGGAAAAGGAUUUAUUCGCUUCAGGAUGGACUCGCGUCCAAUUAGCUAGUUGGUGAGGUAACGGCCCACCAAGGCGACGAUUGGUAGCCGGACUGAGAGGUUGAACGGCCACAUUGGGACUGAGACACGGCCCAGACUCCUACGGGAGGCAGCAGUGGGGGAUAUUGCACAAUGGGGGAAACCCUGAUGCAGCGACGCCGCGUGGAGGAAGAAGGUUUUCGGAUUGUAAACUCCUGUCGUUAGGGACGAUAAUGACGGUACCUAACAAGAAAGCACCGGCUAACUACGUG
Molecule: ribosomal RNA, 469 nt
Filed under: uncultured bacterium
Lineage: Bacteria
Description: partial 16S ribosomal RNA
Rfam family: Bacterial small subunit ribosomal RNA
Source: RNAcentral